AUUGAACGCUGGCGGAAUGCUUUACACAUGCAAGUCGAACGGCAGCACGGACUUCGGUCUGGUGGCGAGUGGCGAACGGGUGAGUAAUGUAUCGGAACGUGCCCAGUCGUGGGGGAUAACGUAGUGAAAAUUACGCUAAUACCGCAUACGAUCUAUGGAUGAAAGCGGGGGAUCGCAAGACCUCGCUCGAUUGGAGCGGCCGAUAUCAGAUUAGGUAGGUGGUGGGGUAAAGGCCCACCAAGCAAACGAUCUGUAGCUGGUCUGAGAGGACGACCAGCCACACUGGAACUGAGACACGGUCCAGACGCCUACGGGAGGCAGCAGUGGGGAAUUUUGGACAAUGGGCGAAAGCCUGAUCCAGCCAUUCCGCGUGCAGGAUGAAGGCCCUCGGGUUGUAAACUGCUUUUGUACAGAACGAAAAGGUUUCUACUAAUACUAGGAGCUCAUGACGGUACUGUAAGAAUAAGCACCGGCUAACUACGUGCCAGCCGCCGCCGUAA
Molecule: ribosomal RNA, 500 nt
Filed under: uncultured bacterium
Lineage: Bacteria
Description: partial 16S ribosomal RNA
Rfam family: Bacterial small subunit ribosomal RNA
Source: RNAcentral